CAAUAGCGUAUAUUAAAGUUGUUGCGGUUAAAAAGCUCGUAGUUGGAUUUCUGCCGAGGACGACCGGUCCGCCCUCUGGGUGAGUAUCUGGUUCGGCCUGGGCAUCUUCUUGGAGAACGUAUCUGCACUUGACUGUGUGGUGCGGUAUCCAGGACUUUUACUUUGAGGAAAUUAGAGUGUUUCACGCAGGCGUCCGCCUUGAAUACGUUAGCAUGGAAUAAUGCGACAGGACCUCGGUCCAUUUUGUUGGUUUCUUGGGUUGAGGUAAUGAUUAACAGGGAUGGUUGGGGGCGAUUCGUAUUUAACUGUCAGAGGUGAAAUUCUUGGAUUGUUAAAGACGGACUACUGCGAAAGCAUUUGCCAAGGAUGUUUUCUAUUGAUCAAGAACGAAAGUUAGGGGAUCGAAGAUGAUCAGAUACCAU
RNAcentral lists this ribosomal RNA (422 nucleotides) under uncultured eukaryote. RNAcentral describes it as "SSU rRNA". It matches the Rfam family "Eukaryotic small subunit ribosomal RNA", at positions 592 to 1018 of the family's 1831-position model. The record is from RNAcentral.